Molecule: long non-coding RNA, 1443 nt
Organism: Brassica rapa (field mustard)
Lineage: Eukaryota; Viridiplantae; Streptophyta; Magnoliopsida; Brassicales; Brassicaceae
Source: RefSeq, a predicted model, not a curated record
UUGUAAACGAAUAAAUGUUAAAUAUCCACUCAAUCAAAGUACUUUGUUAUUGUGCCGUCGGAAUUAAAAACUCAGAUGAAAUUAUUGUAUAUUGUAUAACCAAACUAGCCAAUAACCAUUGUACUAAUUACGUUCCAAUAUAACCAAACUAUUGUAAUAUAUUGCGCUAGUCUAAGAAAAUUAAAAUUCUCUAAACUAGGUAAUAUAUUUAACCAGCAAAGAAUUUUAAAAUAGCAAUAGACACCUUUUCUAAUCAUCUAAAUUAUUCUUCUGAUAUAUUAUGAAAAUAAUUAUAAAUAAAUCUGUACAUAGAAUUUUAUUGUUUUCACAAAAAUCCACAAUCAACAUAUUUUGUUUUCAACAAAUGCACGAUAUAAAAUUAUAUCUUAAACAUGUAAAUCAAAACAACCGACUCUACUUAUACUAAACUGGAAAUUUUCCGUGAGUGUACUCUAACAAUACAACUAAUUUAUCGGUCUAAAAAGAUUGAUGAGUUAUUUCCUCAACCGUUGACCGUUACUAACAUUGCUAUGAUGUUUUGCUUGCAUCCGUUUUAGCUGAUGAUUGUUUAGUAGUUUUUGGUUUUAAUUUUUAGUUUUUGGAUUUUAGUUUUUAGAUUUUGGUUUUUGAUUUUCAGUUUUUGUUUUUAAUUUUUCAGCUUUUAGUUUUAGUUUUCAAAAGAAUAAUUAUAUAUUACUUUAAAAUAAUACAUCAAAAUAUCAAUUAAAUAUUUAGAAGUUACCAUAAAAAUUUAUCAAAAUAUUAUGAUUUUAUUUAAAAAUAAAAUACAGUAACAUGUUUCUAGUUAUUAUAUUUUUAUAAAAAAUAUAUAUUAUAAUAAAAUGUAAAUCAUAAAAUAAAUAUAAGUUGAAAAAUUAAAAUAUUUUAUAAUAAUAAACUAUUUAGAAAUUUUCGUAUAUAAAUUAUAUUUUAUUUCAAAACUUGAAUGACAAUUGUUUUAUGAUAUAAAUGAUUAGUUUUAUGUGUAAUCUUGAGUUGACUUGUUUUGUUUAUGUUUCCAUUUUCAUGUAGUAUCUGCCAAUAUGUAAGAAACUAUAUGUAGAUUAGAAGAGGAAGAGUUUUAUAGAAAACGAAAUUCAACAUAAAACCAAUUUGAUUCGAACAUGGCGUUUUCAAUCUUACUAACCUGGAAGUUACGUUCAUUUGCCAACUUUGUAAUGAAGCUCCGUUUAUCUGUCCACAUCAAAUUUCUGUUUUCUCAAUUCGUUGAAUUUUUUUUUUUGAUUUUUUUUGUUGUGCCACCGUUUGACCGUAGACUAUGUUUAUAUGGAUCUACAGUUGUUGAUUCGACACUGUAGAUACACGACCAUUAGAAGUUUUCAUCACACUUUAGAAAGAGCCAGAAAACCGUUUCAAAGAAUUUGAGAAUUUAUAAUUUUGAAAACAAAUAGAAAUGAUUUAAAGUUUAUGGCAUCAUGAGUU